AGUUAAUAAGUUUUAGAUAAACAUAUAUUUUGAAAAUAUAAAAGGGAUGUUAAAUUCAUCCAUUAACUU
RNAcentral lists this transfer RNA (69 nucleotides) under Dichelops melacanthus. Its description in RNAcentral is "tRNA-Ser". The record is from RNAcentral. Lineage: Eukaryota; Metazoa; Arthropoda; Insecta; Hemiptera; Pentatomidae.